RNAcentral lists this ribosomal RNA (484 nucleotides) under uncultured bacterium. RNAcentral's name for it is "partial 16S ribosomal RNA". It matches the Rfam family "Bacterial small subunit ribosomal RNA", at positions 30 to 507 of the family's 1533-position model. The record is from RNAcentral.
AUUGAACGCUGGCGGCAGGCCUAACACAUGCAAGUCGAGCGGAUGAAGGGAGCUUGCUCCUGGAUUCAGCGGCGGACGGGUGAGUAAUGCCUAGGAAUCUGCCUGGUAGUGGGGGAUAACGUCCGGAAACGGGCGCUAAUACCGCAUACGUCCUGAGGGAGAAAGUGGGGGAUCUUCGGACCUCACGCUAUCAGAUGAGCCUAGGUCGGAUUAGCUAGUUGGUGGGGUAAAGGCCUACCAAGGCGACGAUCCGUAACUGGUCUGAGAGGAUGAUCAGUCACACUGGAACUGAGACACGGUCCAGACUCCUACGGGAGGCAGCAGUGGGGAAUAUUGGACAAUGGGCGAAAGCCUGAUCCAGCCAUGCCGCGUGUGUGAAGAAGGUCUUCGGAUUGUAAGGCACUUUAAGUUGGGAGGAAGGGCAGUAAGUUAAUACCUUGCUGUUUUGACGUUACCAACAGAAUAAGCCCCGGCUAACUUCGUG